This 489-nucleotide ribosomal RNA is filed under the name Akanthomyces lecanii. Its description in RNAcentral is "SSU rRNA". It matches the Rfam family "Bacterial small subunit ribosomal RNA", at positions 401 to 906 of the family's 1533-position model. The record is from RNAcentral. Lineage: Eukaryota; Fungi; Ascomycota; Sordariomycetes; Hypocreales; Cordycipitaceae.
AAGUGAAAAGUCUUAAAAAAUUAACCCUUAACGUACUUUGUAAGUUUAGUUAAUAGAAUAAGAUUAAAGAUUUAAUAAUGAAUGAAACUUUGUUUAUAUAUUGAUAAUGACAAUAUAUAUAUUAUGUCUUGACCAAUUACGUGCCAGCAGUCGCGGUAAUACGUAAGAGACUAGUGUUAUUCAUCUUAAUUAGGUUUAAAGGGUACUCAAACGGUCAAAAUAAAGACUAGAGUUAUAUAGAAGAAGGUAGUACCUUGGAUGUAAAGAUUAAAUUUGAUCAUAUCUAAGGGACUCUGAAAAGGCGUAGGCAACCUUCUAAGUAAUAACUGACGUUGAAGGACGAAGGCAUAGAUCACGAACAGGACUAGUUACCCAAGUAGUCUUUGCAGUCAAUGAUGAAUGCCAUAGGUUAGAUAAAAAAAUUUAGUCUAUAAAUGAAAGUGUAAGCAUUUCACCUCAAGAGUAAUGUGGCAACGCAGGAACUGAAAU